Molecule: non-coding RNA, 4102 nt
Organism: Meleagris gallopavo (turkey)
Lineage: Eukaryota; Metazoa; Chordata; Aves; Galliformes; Phasianidae
Source: RefSeq, a predicted model, not a curated record
CUUGUUCCUUGAGCGCUUAAAUUGCUUUUACUCUUAUAUUCUGUUUCUUUUUCCUAUCUUUUUGGGAACUAUAUUCCAUUUUCCCAAGCAUAAUUUACUGUUUUCCACUGUCAUAAAAGAGGUUGGCUUAGGAGUUGGACCACCCAAGUGUUGACUAUUAAGUCAAAUAGGAUGGAGUGGGAGGUCUGGACUUGUUGGUUUUAUUUAUUUAUUUAUAGCUUUGGAGGUGAGUGUAGUUCCCAGGAGGUUGCCAAAGUUCUGUGGAAUGGGGAGUUUAUUUCAAUUCACCUCCAGCUAAUGGAUGCAAGCCCAAGAGCUUCAGUUGCUUUUGAUCCAACUGUGACUCCACUUGUUUUUCUUUCUGUCUAGGAAUCUUUUUUAAAGCAGCUCCAUGACAAUGGUACCUCUGUUUCAUUCUAACAGGACGUGCCAAUAAUUCCAUUCUUCAGAUGUACAAAAGAGGCUUUUUAAGAAAAACAGUUUUGCAAGUACAAGUCACUGUGGGUCUCCCGGAUCUCUGUUGUGUUGGCUCCUUAUACUCCCAACAAGAAGAUGGAAGCUGCUAUUUGUUCCAUUCUUCAAAAAAAAUUAUGAGAAGUUCUUCUGUACUCUUUUUCUAUACUUUGAUUUCUCCAAAAAGCAGAGGGUAACAGAGAAUGAGAUACUGUAUAUACUACUAGUGCCUAAUAGGGUGGAUUGAUUGCACAAAAUUUGUCAUAAUUUUAGCCACAGGAGACAGAAAAGGAGGCAUUCCUUACAAGCAGUCAAUCUGGUUAGCUCCUAACCUGCAUCCAGAAAUUGUGCUGUAAGGCUCAGAAAACUUCUCAUAUCUGAUAGCAGAUAUUGGAUAGCAAUCCCAUGUCACCAAGACUCAUGCAAGAUCGGAAGAGAACAUCGAUCAAAUUACUAUGACCUCUAUGGACCACCUCCCAGGGUAAUCAGCAGUGUGUAUCCUAGUUCUCUACCAGAAGAAAAGGGUUUUCUGUUUCUGUUUGUGCUAUGCUUCUAGAAAAAAAGGCAAUAUUUGUAACAGUGCUACAGUGGACAAAGACUCCAACUGUGGUUACAACAGUCACCUAGGGAGCAAUUCAAGUUCCUAAAUAAAGGCAUCUAAUAUGUUUCCUAAACUAUGGAGUAUUGCACAGUGCUAGCAGAGAUAAUGCAGAGCCUAUGGGAUAACUUUCUUAUUCUCUAAUAAUAGCUGCUAACCAGUCUGGAAUUUCAUAGACACUUGAGUUUAGUCACCUAAAAUACUCUUCUGGUAAUAUCUGGGAUUGAAAUGGGUAGACUGAUAGCUGAUAGUGGAGAAAUAGCGUAGGUAUAGAGAUCUUAUUAGUCAAGUGAACAGUGAUUAGUCAAGUGAUGAUAAUACUAAAAGUAUUACACCUAUCCUAUCAGGUGUUGUUCCUCAACAGGGCACAGAGCAAUGUCUUUUUCCUAUAGUUUUAACUAUCAUUUUCCAAGUGACAAAUAUCUACUAAUCUUUUCUUCUUUUUUUUCUCUGCUUCUUACAUUCUCAUCUCUUUCUAAAGGCAACUGAUGCAGUGUAGGAUUUUGAACAAGCUCAUCAAGAUCAUGCCAAAGCUGAUCUGGAAAUAUCUGUUGUUCCUUAUUUGGGAAUAAACUGUAACCAGCCAUAUUCAACUAGCUUUUCUUGCAUGCCCUGGUUGAGUUUGGUCCUUUUUCCUGACAUCCAGGAUACCCAACAUACAAAAGGACCUGUGAUUUGCAGUGAGAUCUGAGGUGAAUCAUCAUAAAGGAGUAAACUGUGAUAGAGAUGCUUUGAUGUGGAAGACAGAACUUUCUUCUACGAUUGGACUUCUAGACAUCACAAAGUUUAAUAGAAGGACUUCUAGAACAGUCAUGUUGCAAACUUGGUGUCCCUCAUGGGAGGAGGUUGAGAGGGUGAGACAGAUGUUUGCCACAUAAUGGACCAAAAUUUUCAAGAGAUCCUGGAGUCAUAAGCAGCAGUGGUAAGACCUAUGAUGACCGAAAUAUUUCAAAGUGAUUGCUGAAACUUGUUGCAAACAGCAGACAUAAGCAUGAAUUUAAUAUGAAGAAUGUCCAAAGGAUGAGCAUGCAGCACAAAAAGCAAGCAUUGACAAGGAAGGUACCUUGGCAUAUGGUCUUGGACAGCACAUCCUGGGCAGAAGGGGCAGCAUGGAAGGUGACACUAAGGCACCUGUGUGGCUUUGAAGAAGGAGGCAGGAGAUACAGAUUGGAAUGCACGUGGCCAGUAUGAUGUGAGUUCAAAUCAAGGACUUACUGUGAAGGGGCCAGAAUUAGUUUCAGAUGACAUCAUUUUAAUUACCAAUUAUAUUUAGCAUAUGUGGUAAUAUGGUCUGAGACCUUACAUAUAUUUAAUUCUGCGAAUUUCAGUAUGUAUCUACAGCUUGCGAAAGCAAACCUACCUAGGAACAUUGCCUCUCUGUGAACUCCAAAGGUGGUUCUGCAAAAAAGGUUACAUACCACAGCCAAAGGUGCUGUUUUGUUUUGUUUCAUAUCCAAGUCCAAAGGUGAUGUUAUUAUUGAUUUAUUUAUUCUUAUUCAAGGUCAUUCUUUUUAAUGUAGUAUGCUAAAAAUAAAAUAGCGUACUUAUAUAUUCGGGCUUAAUUCGUAUUUGGAGACAUGAAGGUAUUUGGUUCAUAUUUAUCAAAUUGAGUGAUUAUAUUGGAAAUUAAUAGUAAGCACUUCUAGUGCAUUGCAUUAUGGCAUAGAUCUUUAUACAGUCUGAAAUUCCCAUAGAAUUUUUUUGCCAAUGUUUAAAUACUGCUCCUGAACUAUCUUAAUACCUCACUACACAUUGAUGAGCUGAAAAAGAAAAUCUCUUGUAAUCUUAAUGCGUGAGACCUUUUACUAUCUUUGUGUACAGUGAACUCAGAAAUAUAACACCAAAUACCUGAAAUUUUGAAUAAUAAUCAUAACAUCAUCUUCAUGUUGGUAAGUAGCCUGAGCCUUUAAAGUGAGGUGCAGGGAAGGUUAAACUAGCUUAAGUCACAUUAUUAUCAUGACUGAUAACGUUGGGAUUGAGACUCACCACCCUUCAAAGUGUUCCUUCUACUUUUAAAAAUCCUGAUAUAUUUUGCUACCAGUAAAGCACAAAUUUCAUGUGAGUAUCUGUGGGAUCAGUUGACCAGUAAAUCUCUAAUUUUUUUUUUAAUAUAGAAAGUCAUAAUCUUUUAUAGAAAGUCUAGUGAAGAAAAAAAAAAAAGAGAGACUUUUCUUAACAGUCAAAAAAGAUUUUCCUUUUCACCCUAUAAUUGGUAAAUGCUGAAGAAGAUGAUUGAAAUUACAGAUAGUUAUAUCUACAGUCUAAAAGGAGACACUCCAUAUACAGCUCCCAUAGUAAAAGGUGACAGAAUAGCCAGAUAAGUAUUACAAUCUGCCAGAGAAGCCCAGUUCCUGAACUGCCACAUCUUACUGAGAGAGAUUUUAGAUUUCAGAUGUAAUAGACAUUUUCUGUGGAAGGCCUGCUCUACCUCUUUCCUACUUAUUCUCUAAAAUGCCUAAAUUUUGGUUGAAAAAUGUUUUAGCAGAAAAUAUUUGACUAACAUACUUGCAGCACUCUCCAUGAGGAAAAGGUGAUCUAUUCAAAAGUGUUUAAAGCCAGAUCUCUGUUCUGCAGGGAAGCUGUGACACAGUUUAGAUCCAGUGGCAUCUAGAUGUCAGGGCUGAGAAGACUUUGGGAACAAUUUCCUCUUCUUCUUGUCUUUUAGUUUUCUAUCUCUUCUCCCUCAAGUAAUUUUUACUGCUGUAUGCAGGGCUGCACUACCAGCCUGAGAGAGAACUGGCUGUGUGUAGGAGGAGUGCAAAUGUCUCUAAUUUUAUUUCAAAUGUUUUUGUAGUAAAUUCCCAUGUACUAUUGUCCCAUCAUUACUGUGUGAGAUAUGAACCUGCACCUUCACAUUUUACCCAAUUUGCUUUCCUUUUGUUAAAGAGUUCCAAAUAUACAGCUUUAAUUUUACUGCCAUGGUAGUAACUAGAACACAGGAAGUUCCAUACAAAUGCAAAGAAGAAAAUCUGCACUGUCAGAAGGAUGGAGUACAGGAACAGGCUGCCUGAAAAGGUUGUGGAGUCUCCUUCUCUGGAGAUGUUCAAGACA